Aedes albopictus (Asian tiger mosquito) is the source of this 3966-nucleotide RNA transcript. RefSeq lists it as uncharacterized. NCBI's taxonomy places the organism in Eukaryota, Metazoa, Arthropoda, Insecta, Diptera, Culicidae. The transcript has 2 exons. The record is from RefSeq and is a predicted model, not a curated record.
ACUAUUUCACGAAGGUAAAGGAUCCAGUCCCACCUGAGCAGCAAACAAACGUCAUCUAUGCCAUUCCUUGUUGCCACUGCGAAGCUAUGUACGUUGGGAUGACAACCAAUCGCCAAAAAACAAGAAUACAUGGUCAUCAAACACACUACAACACGAUGGACAAACUGCUGGAACGAGGAAUCGACGUAGAGGACCAAGAAAUGAUUGCUCUCGGGGAAAAAACGGCUCUGAUGCACCACAGCAUCACAAAACAACAUAGAUUCGAUCUAGACAGAACGAAAAUACUAGACAAGAAUGAAAACACAAACACACUCCAAUUUCUAGAGAUGUGUCAUAUUGUCAACAACACGAAUUGUAUAAAUAGAAGGACAGACACAGAAGGGCUACAUGCGAUUUACGCAGGGAUAUUACACGAAGUAAGGAAUGUCAACAAAACACGAAAACGAAAUGAUACACAAACACGAAUGAAUCAGAACACACUCACACCACAACAACAACAUUCUAGAUGAUGUACUACACACACUACAAGACACUAGUAGCAAGCACGGACAGCCAAGAAGCUGUCACGACUAAAAGCGUAGGCGAAAACUGUGCGAUUAUAACAAAUAGUUAAGCUCCAAACGACAGGCUUUUUAUAGCAAAAGCCACCCGCGAUACAGUGUCUUGCAAAAAUAUCGCCACACAUGCAGUGAGUAGACAAAUGUAACUAAAAAUGUAAGAUAGUAAUAUCACACUAUAUUCAUAGCCGAAGCGAGCGCCAUUUCAAAUUGAAUGGACAAUCAAAUGUAGAGCACUACCGUUCCGUACAAGAGAACAAAACUUCUGUAAGUAACAGGGUGGGCCAAAAAAGGUAAUGAGAAAUUAUUCGAUCAUUCUUAUAGAUUCCUUGAAAAUGGUAAAAUACAUUACCGAAACCGUCGGAAAUUGAAGCAAUAUUGUUCUUGCUGCUCUGAAAGACUGCCAAGGCCGGAAAACAUAACGUUUCUCUAGCUACAAUAUCCAGUCGUUAAGCAAUCCUUCCGUUGAAUACAAUGGCCACCGUCUCCGGCGCUUCCUUCUAUGACGAAAUUGGAAACAAUUACGGUGCAAAUGCUAAAAACAUGUUAAAAGACUACGCUAACAACACCCGAAAAAUCGGGAACAUGAUCAGUAGAAAAGCAUUCCUGAUCAGGUGUCGAAGAAGAGGAGUAUUCCCGGCACACUUUUCGAAUAAUUUCCGAUUUACGUACCCACUAUUGGAGGAAAAUGGCCCGUUCCCAAAUAUGGUACAGAAGUGCAUUAGGAAGUUCAUGAAGUCCAUACUAAACAUCGAGAUCAAACAUACGUUCUACAAAAUCCGAACCCUGCAAUCAAAACUGGCCUCACUAACAGCGAGCAUCCGGUCAUCGGACAUCCCGGGUCCGAUCAAGGCGAGCUUCUUCGAAAGCCAAGAGCGUUUCAACGAAAUGAAUGUCCAGGCGAGAACUAACAGAACCAAGCGUAAAUUUCGAAGCAUCAUAACCCGUAACCUGCAGCCAGCAGCGAACGAGGAGCUACCGACGAUCAACUCGAAGGCCAUCCACAACGGCACCCAGGUGGCAGUACCUCCCGAAACAGAAGUGUUACUCAGCCUAGGCCCAAAGUUUGCUUUGCCGAUCACCACGGCGGACAGUGUCCCGUUCUACCAUCUGUUGGCCGAUGUAGAACAGAUUAUCAAGACCAAUCCAGAUGUUGCAGUUCAAGAUCGUAACCGAUGUGCGAUAGCCAACGUGGUAACAAACUACAUCCACGGCAGUCGCAACCGUCCCGGUCCAGUCGAUCCCGUUUCGAAGUUCUGUGAAAACGCGCAGGCUAUAACUCGAAGGUUUUUGAAAGAAAACCCAAACGUCUUCGUCGUAAAGUCGGACAAAGGCAACAAGACAGUUCUUAUAGAAGCAGAAGACUACAAGAACAAGAUGAUGGAACUUCUUCAGGAUCAAACAACGUACGUGCCGAUACCACGUGACCCCACAUCGAGAUACGAGAGACAGAACAACAACCUGGUGCGACGGCUCAAAAACCUCAAGAUCAUCGACGAUAAAACAGCAAGGAUGCUCACCAAGUACAAUGCAGUGUGUCCAAGGAUCUACGGACAACCCAAGGCACACAAACCUGGAUUACCGCUGAGACCCGUUGUACCCAAUGUCACAGCUCCGUCAUACAACCUGUCAAAGUUCAUCGGACAAGUCAUGCAGCAAUCCCUGGUAAGCAAAUACAACAUCAAGGACUCCUUUUCAUUCUGCCAGUUCAUAAACAACAUAACUCUACCCGGGGAUCACGUACUUGUUUCGUUGGAUGUAAAAUCGCUAUUCACCUCGAUACCAAAAUCGCUGGCAAUCAACAGUAUCAUAAUGAGGUGGGACGAAAUUAGGCCAAACACAAACAUAUGUUUGGACCUAUUUCUAGAAAUAGUCGAGUUUUGUAUCGACGCGAGCUACUUCCGCUUCGAUGGUCAACAUUACCAACAAAUAUUCGGUACGGCUAUGGGCAAUCCCCUAUCUCCAGCAAUCGCGGAUUGGGUAAUGGAAACAUUGCUGGACACGGUUGUUCGAAUGCUCAAAAUCCCCCUACCAUUCCUACGAAAAUUCGUAGACGAUCUAGUAACGGCAAUCCCUCUCCACCAACUAGACCAUGUCAUGGAAACAUUCAACAGCUAUGACAUCCACAUCCAGUUCACGUACGAACUGGAGGUGGAUAACAAAUUGCCAUUCCUGGAUAUGCUCCUCAUCAGGCAGGACAACCAGAAGAUUGCCACCCAAUGGUACCAAAAACCCAUCGCUAGUGGACGUUUUCUUAACUUCCAUUCAUAUCACCCACUCGGUCAAAAGCUGAAUAUGGCAAUAAACUUCGCUAGACGGGUAAAUCAACUAACCACGAACCUGGAUCAACAAGCAAAAAUGCAGAUUGUUGAUGAACAACUCAAGCUAAACGAUUACCCGAAACCGCUAAGGCACCGAAUCGCCAACAGGAUGAAUGAGCGAUCCAACGACGAAAAUCAGCAAGAAAUCCUGGAAUAUACCUACCGUCGCAUUCCAUUCAUACCUCACUUGUCAAACAAGAUUGACAGGGUCUUGCAGCGAGAUUAUAAUAACAUACGACUCGCAAAGUACAACGUCCGAUCAGCAAGGGACUAUUUCACGAAGGUAAAGGAUCCAGUCCCACCUGAGCAGCAAACAAACGUCAUCUAUGCCAUUCCUUGUUGCCACUGCGAAGCUAUGUACGUUGGGAUGACAACCAAUCGCCUAAAAACAAGAAUACAUGGUCAUCAAACACACUACAACACGAUGGACAAACUGCUGGAACGAGGAAUCGACGUAGAGGACCAAGAAAUGAUUGCUCUCGGGGAAAAAACGGCUCUGAUGCACCACAGCAUCACAAAACAACAUAGAUUCGAUCUAGACAGAACGAAAAUACUAGACAAGAAUGAAAACACAAACACACUCCAAUUUCUAGAGAUGUGUCAUAUUGUCAACAACACGAAUUGUAUAAAUAGAAGGACAGACACAGAAGGGCUACAUGCGAUUUACGCAGGGAUAUUACACGAAGUAAGGAAUGUCAACAAAACACGAAAACGAAAUGAUACACAAACACGAAUGAAUCAGAACACACUCACACCACAACAACAACAUUCUAGAUGAUGUACUACACACACUACAAGACACUAGUAGCAAGCACGGACAGCCAAGAAGCUGUCACGACUAAAAGCGUAGGCGAAAACUGUGCGAUUAUAACAAAUAGUUAAGCUCCAAACGACAGGCUUUUUAUAGCAAAAGCCACCCGCGAUACAGUGUCUUGCAAAAAUAUCGCCACACAUGCACCGAAGCGAGCGCCAUUUCAAAUUGAAUGGACAAUCAAAUGUAGAGCACUACCGUUCCGUACAAGAGAACAAAACUUCUGUAAGUAACAGGGUGGGCCAAAAAAGGUAAUGAGAAAUUAUUCGAUCAUUCU